UGGAACUGACAGUGAUGGGAAUGUGGCAACUGAAUGUUUUCUCUCUUUCUUGGUUCCUUCCAUUUUUAUCUCAACUUUUCUAGUGUGUUGUCCCCUUUUCUAAAUGGCAUUGACAAACUCAUCAAGAUCCAGAGAUAAACAGUCCAUCGUUUAAGAAUAUUUUAUUUUGCAUGUAGAGGAAAGAAUUAACCAAAGACGUUUCUGCUCUGAUACUUUCUAAAGAAAACAGACUAAUUAUAUAUAAGUGGUAUCAAUAGGUCUGCUUAUAAGUAUUGUCCUAUGUAGAGAUUUACUUUUUGGUUUUUACAAGCAUAGUUUGCGCUUUUAGAUGUCUCUCAGGUGAAAAAUAGAAGUUGGCAGCCCUGAGCAAGCACCUGUGACACAGGGAUUUUUAUUUUAGUUUUAAAGUAUGAUACAGAGAAUGAGGUUUUUGGUUUGAUUUGGUUUGGUUGUGUUUUUUAGUUCUUUAUUUUUUAUUUGGGGGUUCUCUUAGUGAUGGCAUAUUUCAGGUUUCAGUGACAUAGAUCAAGUAAUUUUAAACCAAUUUGGUUAUUCUAUCUAAGAUGAGGGACAUGGCUAUUAAGGUCAAGCCAAACUAUACUAAAAGUAGUAUAGGGCAGCAGUUAAAAUUAUCUUUUGAAAAUCAAGUAUUACCUGGUUUCUUCUGUCACAACAGAAUAGCUGGUUACCUAGUCAGUCACAGUUGCCCUUGCCUUCCCUUGUUAGUCCCUGGAGGUACUUGAGUGGAACAGAAGGUAGAAUUAGCAACAGCUCAAUCACUUUAGGUAGCAUUUCUCCUGAAUUCUGCUGCCAAAUCCUCAGGGUCUAUGGAUUGGUUGAAAUAGUAAAAUCACACAUAGUGAUUUCUUGCACAGCGUAGAGGCGUUUAAUUUUAGUGUAUAGUGAACAAAGAAGGAAAACUGGGUCAUAUAAAAUUUAACCUUAAAACACAGAUUAUAAAUAUCUUUGAAUGUUAAGCCCUAGGCAGACAGACACUCUCAUUCUUAACUCUGGUAUGCAAGCUGGCCUUGCUGACAGUGGCAUAGUUACAUUAACUGUUUUUUAAGUUGCAUGUUGUGAUGUGAAUGUUUUUUGUAAAAGUUGCCAAGUUAAUCGAGUCCUAAAUAAGUAGCCAAAUGGUAACUGAGACCCACUGUAGACAUUACUCGCUUUAUAUUAUUUGCUUUCAAAUACUAAAACCUCAGCUGCUAAUUCAGCGCUCUAGGUGUACAGUGUCUCCUUCCCUUGGCUCCUAGCAAUGUAGGGAACUUGAGGUUCUUCAGUAUCUUCAGAGAUUCCUUCCAGGCCACAUAUUUUUAUGCUAAUACUUCUAUAGUUGCAUUCAAUCUACAAGGAGAAAGUGUACAUUGGUGCAUGUUUUAUAAACCCAGACACAGAUAGCUAAAACCAUAAUUAGUUUUUCUAUACCCAGAGCUUUGAAUUAAAAACAGAUGCUUUUUUUUUCCCCAAGAGCAGACAGUUCUACAUUCCUAACAUUAGGAAUUGGUGAUACGAGAAGCAGGAUCCAGAAUUCAGAAUGAUUUAGUGAGACUCGGUGAAAAAAAUGCAUUUUCCCCUGGCUGUUUGAAAAUUUACUUAUUUGCAGAUAAGUCUAGAUUUAGUCUUGGAGAUCAAAGUCUUUUAUAUUUUAAAAACUUAUUCUUUAUAUUGAUCAAACAUGGCAUAUGUUAGAGAACCACUUCUUCUGUCAUGUUUAUGUAUUUUGGAAUUAAGUUGUUUGCAUUCACUUUCAAAAUCUGCCCAUUUCUGUUUAUGUGCACUUACCACAGAUGUGUCGGGACU
This 1803-nucleotide long non-coding RNA is filed under the name Homo sapiens (human). Its description in RNAcentral is "non-protein coding lnc-CDAN1-1:1". The record is from RNAcentral. Lineage: Eukaryota; Metazoa; Chordata; Mammalia; Primates; Hominidae.